This 1194-nucleotide long non-coding RNA is filed under the name Androctonus crassicauda. Lineage: Eukaryota; Metazoa; Arthropoda; Arachnida; Scorpiones; Buthidae. The record is from RNAcentral.
AUCUAAUUUUUAGGUGUACUCAAAUUAUAAUGUAGUCAGAAAAGCGAGUGAUCAAAUUUUAAAAUGUCGUAUGUCGCAAAGAUUUUAAUGCAAAACACACUAAUAUAUUUUUAAAUACUAUGUUAAGUUUGUCAUUUUAAAAUAUAUUCUGAGAAAUUUUAAAAUUUUCAAGUUUAGAAUAGCGAAGAGCAACAAGAAUGCGAUAUUUUUCGAUCGGUGUUAAACAGAAUAAAUUUUUAAACAAAAAAUAAUUUUGUGGUGUAGACAACGAUGUAUGUAUAUGGGUGUAAACGACGAAAAUACAGACGAUGAAGUAAAAGUACUUUCACCACCAGGUUCUAAAUCAGUAUCCUCUGCCAUCUUGAAUGUUAUAUUAUUCGCGCAAUAACUGGAUAUAUAGUACGGGAGGCAUAUUAGUAAAUGUUAAUUGGUAUACCAUGUUAAUUAUCGUUUAUAAAAAGUAAAAUAUGAAUGUAGUAUCUUCAUUUUUUAAUACAUUUCAAAAAUGUCAAACCAUAUUUUUAUUGCAUUUUCAAGAUACCAAGCCAAGAUACAUAUUAGAAAAUUAAAGUUUCGCUCUCUAAUGAAUGAUGAUUAAAAGUGCAAAUCGGCAAUUAUUUUGUUCUAAAGAUUCAUUCAGAAAACUGUUCUCAAGACAAACAUUUCAAAAUGGCGACGUGCACCGGUUUAGGUACGAUGUGCAGGGGAAUACUUUAAUUUCAUCGUUAAUUUUCUCGUCGCCUGCACCGGAUACAGAUAUGGUUCUUUUGAAAAGUUUAUCUAUCCAUCUUAUCUUUUGCAUGGUGCUAUUCUUAUUGUCAGUAUUCUGGACUCUUAUUCCAAUUAAAAUACAUAAUUACUUUUCUUAAAAUUAUAUAUAUCACUCAUACAACGAAAUUACAAAAACAUAAGCAAGAUGUACUAUAAGUAGUAAAAUAUAAAAUCUAAUUCAAAGACCAAAUGGUAUGGAAGGCUAGAUACAACCAUGUCUCAAAAGCUAUACUUAUGAUAUUUUUUUCUCUUAAUUUUAUCAAUAUAUUUGACUACAUGUUGUUAAAAAUUUUGCAAGAGUUGAUAACCUAAUCAUUCACUUAUUUUUAUUACUAAUUAAUAUCUAUUGAAAGAAUGGCACAAUGAUAGCUUACCUGGUUUAGAGCGCCGCGUCGCAUCGCAUGCUGCUACCGACGAUUGUAG